AUUGAACGCUGGCGGCAUGCCUUACACAUGCAAGUCGAACGGUAACGGGCCUUCGGGUGCCGACGAGUGGCGAACGGGUGAGUAAUACAUCGGAACGUGCACGAUCGUGGGGGAUAACGAGGCGAAAGCUUUGCUAAUACCGCAUACGAUCUACGGAUGAAAGCAGGGGACCGCAAGGCCUUGCGCGGACGGAGCGGCCGAUGGCAGAUUAGGUAGUUGGUGGGAUAAAAGCUUACCAAGCCGACGAUCUGUAGCUGGUCUGAGAGGAUGAUCAGCCACACUGGGACUGAGACACGGCCCAGACUCCUACGGGAGGCAGCAGUGGGGAAUUUUGGACAAUGGGCGCAAGCCUGAUCCAGCCAUGCCGCGUGCAGGAUGAAGGCCUUCGGGUUGUAAACUGCUUUUGUACGGAACGAAAGGCCUUCUUUAAUACAGGAGGGUCAUGACGGUACCGUAAGAAUAAGCACCGGCUAACUACGUG
RNAcentral lists this ribosomal RNA (481 nucleotides) under uncultured bacterium. RNAcentral's name for it is "partial 16S ribosomal RNA". It matches the Rfam family "Bacterial small subunit ribosomal RNA", at positions 30 to 507 of the family's 1533-position model. The record is from RNAcentral.